UGGGGAAUAUUGCACAAUGGAGGGAACUCUGAUGCAGCGACGCCGCGUGAGUGAUGAAGGAAUUCGUUUCGUAAAACUCUGUUCUAUGGGAAGAAAAGGACUGUACCAUAGGAGAAAGCUCCGGCUAAAUACGUGCCAGCAGCCGCGGUAAUACGUAUGGAGCGAGCGUUGUCCGGAAUUAUUGGGCGUAAAGGGUGCGCAGGCGGCUUUACAAGUUGGAUGUGAAAUAUUGUGGCUCAACCACAAACGUGCAUCCAAAACUGCAAAGCUUGAGUUAAGGAGAGGUAGGUGGAAUUCCUGGUGUAGCGGUGGAAUGCGUAGAUAUCAGGAGGAAUACCGGUGGCGAAGGCGACUUACUGGACUUAAACUGACGCUCAGGCACGAAAGCGUGGGGAGCAAACAGG
Molecule: ribosomal RNA, 404 nt
Filed under: Fusobacteriota bacterium
Lineage: Bacteria; Fusobacteriati; Fusobacteriota
Description: Fusobacteria bacterium partial 16S ribosomal RNA
Rfam family: Bacterial small subunit ribosomal RNA
Source: RNAcentral